Molecule: long non-coding RNA, 8154 nt
Filed under: Homo sapiens (human)
Lineage: Eukaryota; Metazoa; Chordata; Mammalia; Primates; Hominidae
Description: HSALNT0344573
Rfam family: Metazoan signal recognition particle RNA (bases 2889-3036)
Source: RNAcentral
GAGAGAGAGAGAGACAUUGGUUAUAUAAGCGAGCAAAUAUCCAGAAGGAAGAAAAACGAUUCAGGACCAACGAAAUAAUUCCGGUUCCCACUUUGACUCUUUGUCCCAGCCCACCCAUGACUGUAUGACAGUGCAUAUUAUUCCAGUUUAGCUGGCUAGGAAACUGAGAAAGAAAGAAGGCAGGAGUCCACUCAGGGCACAGGCGGUGGGGACCACACGAUUCCAAGAGGCACUGACGCCUUCAUGAAGGGCUUCCGUAAAAAGUGGGAAGUACUCCGAUUGCUGGGAGCGUGUUCUAAGUCAGAAUGUUCCUGGUGGUUCAGGGCAGCUCAGAGGAUGCCUCCUCAGAGGGCUUCCCCCACCAUGUCCAGAGUAUCCCCUUUGCUCAUGGCUCCAUGCCUGCCUCACCGUUCUCAGCACUGAUCACUCCCUGUCAUCUACUACCUGCGUGUUUAUCCAUUUGGUCCUCAUCUGACCCCACUGGGGAGUGCUGAGUGCUUGGUGCUCGGUCUAUCCUCACUUCCCUCUGAAUGCUGAGGGCUUGGUGCUUGGUCCAUCCUCACUGCCCUCUGAGUGCUCAGUACUUGGUACUCAGUCUUUUCUCACUGCCCUCUGAGUGCUUGGUGCUCCAUCUGUUCUCACUGCCCUCUGAGUGCAUGGUACUUGGUCCAUCCUCACUGCUGAGUGCUGGGUGCUCGGUCUAUCCUCACUGCCCUCUAAGUGGUCAGUACUUGGUGCUUGGUCCAUCCUUACUGCCCUAUGAGUGCUCAGUGCUCAGUCUGUCCUCACUGUCCUCUGCGUGAUUGGUGCUCAGUCCAUCCUCACUGCCCUAUGAGUGUUCACUACUCAGUGUUCCAUCUGUCCUCACUGCCCUCUGAGUGCUCAGUACUGAGUGCUCCAUCUGUUCUCACUGCCCUCUGAGUGCUCGGUACUUGGUCCAUCUCACUGCCCUCUGAGUGCUCGGUACUUGGUCCAUCCUCACUACCCUCUGAGUGCUUGGUGUUUGGUCCAUCCUCACCACCCUCUGAGUGCUCAGUACUCUGUGUUCCAUCUGUCCUCAGUGCCUUUUGAGUGCUCGUACUUGGUCUGUCCUCACUGCCCUCUGAGUGCUUGGUGCUUGGUCCACCAUCACUGCCCUCUGAGUGCUCAGUACUCGGUGCUUGGUCUGUCCUCACUGCCCUGUAAGUGCUUGGUGCUUGGUUUGUCCUCACUGCCCGGAGCAGUGCAUGGCAUAAGCUCAGUGGGUACAUGCUAACUGAGUGAGUGACUGACAGAGCCUCCCCCUCCCACCCCACUGUCUUUCAGAGACCUUGGGCAACAUUACCAAAUCCUUCAGGCCUCAGCUGUGAAAUGGGUGUGACUGAAACCUCUUUCCAGGCUGUGGUUGAGACUAACUGCGUUAUCACACACAGCACGCUUGGAACAGCACGCAAUGGAUACUAACUAUUAAAAUUGUGCUUAAACCUGGUGUCGUGGACUACCCUGCUAUGUGUAAUCUUAAUGCAAGAGUACGCAGACUGAGAGCGCCACUUGAGACAAGGUCCCCCAAACGCCUGACCGAGUUGGAGAUCAGUGGUGGAAAUUUCAAAGGUAGAGGACACAGCUGCCGUCUUGGGAGUGGUGGACUCCUCCCAGAAGACAAUCAUUUAACCGGAGAAAAUGGUUUUAAACAUCAUUUAAAGUCUCUGAAAUUAUCCUAAGGGCAUACGCAGAAUGAAAAACUAUUUAUUCAGGAAAAUCCAGUAAAUCUUAGUAACAACAGUGAGAGUCUGUGGCAUUUCAGCCUCAGCCCUCCCUCCAAGCCCAUCGAGAAAAUGGAAGCUCUGCUCUCUACAGAUGUGGAAAAGAAAAUGGGGGCCCUACUCCCCCAGUGCCCAGUCUGGGGCUCUGGCCACCUGUGUUGCCCACCUCCCAGCCCCGUGUUAAAAUGUUGAAAGCCAAAUAAAGAGAAAGCCUUGAGAACAGAAAGGGCACGUGACCCAUCGCGCACAAGGAGGCCCCGGUGAGACCCACCGCGCACGAGGGGGGCCCGGUGAGACCUAUCUCACACAAGGGGAUUCUGUAGAUAAUUGUAAAAGACAGUAUAACAUAUUUCUUCUUUCUUCUCAACUUAUUUUUAAAAUGCUUACAUAAAAGAAUAUGUAUAUAAUUACAUUAUUUGUAUUAUAACAUAUAGAAACGUAAUACAUUUGAAAAUAGCAGCACAAAGAAGCCAGGUGGAACAAAGCUGUACUGGAGAGAAAGCAAUGACAUCAGAUAGUAACCAGUAUCCACCGGGGGAAGAAAAGAGAAUCAGAAAUGGUAAAUAAGGAGAUUAAUAUAACAAACUUUAUAAACAUAUACUUGCUCUCCUUUCUUCUCUCAACUUCCUUAAAAGACUUAAGAUUAUAUACAGUAGUAAUUAUAACAAUAUAUUGUUGGGUUUGUAACAUAUACAGGGACAAUAUAUUAAACAACAGCACAAAAAAGAAGUCUAUGGAAUGAAACUAUGUUGUAUGAAGUCUAUGGAAUUGAACUCAUUCCACAGGAGUAUGUUUCUGUAUUUCACUGGUAUUAGGCUAGUAUAAAUCUAAAAUAAAAUUUGAUGUUAAGAUGUACAUUGUAAGCUCCAGAGCAACCACUAAGAAAAUAAACAAUACAGUAAAAAUGUCAUUUAAGGAAUAAAAAAUAUUACAUUAUAAAAUAGCCACUUAAUAUGAAAAAGCAAUAAAAGAAAAUGGAGGAAUAAUAAGGACAUAUACAAAACAAAAAGUGGGCCAGGCGUGGUGGCUCACACCUGUAAUCCCAGCACUUUGGGAGGCCAAGGUGGGUGGAUCACGAGGUCAGGAGUUCGAAACCAGCCUGAUCAACAUGGUGAAACCUCGUCUCUACUAAAAAUACAAAAAUUAGCCAGGCGUGGUGGCGCACACCUGUAAUCCCAGCUACUCAGGAGGCUGAGGCAGGAGAAUCACUUGAAUCCAGGAGGCGGAGGUUGUAGUGAGCCGAGAUUGUGCCACUGCACUCCAGCCUGGGCAACAGAGUGAGACUCUGUCUCAAAAAAUAAAUAAAUCAAUAAAAAAGAAAACAAAAAGCAUAAUGUUAGAUAUAAACCUAAUAAUCAAUAAAAAUAAUAUUUAAAUGUGAAUCAAUUGAACAAGUCAAUCAAAAGGCAGAGAUCAUCAGACUGAAUAAAGGGAAACCAGAAACCUGCUUAUCAAGUGUGUGUCUCUGUGUGUGUCUGUAUAGUAUCUGCAAUGUACACUGACCUCCUAUAGAAAAAGUAUUCAUAUUCUGUAGAAAAUCCAGUGCAGCUUUUAAAAAUACAAAUGAGUUGAAAGUUAAAGAACAGAAAAACAUACGUCAUGCAAACAGCAACCAUGACAGAGCUGGAUAGGCUAUACUAACAUCAGAAAAAACAGACUUUAAAACAGAAAAUGUUACUAAAGACAAACACUUUGUAAUGAUAAAUGUUAACAUAACAAUUAUAAACCCAUAUGCACCUAACAGUGGCACCCCAAAAUAUAUAAAGCAAACUGGUGAAAUUGAAGGGAGAAGUAGACAAUUUAACAAUGGUUUUUACAGACUUCAAUACCCCACUUUUAAUUAUUUAUAGAAUGAAUAGGCAGAAGAUCCACACAGAAAUAAAAACUUAAAUAAACUUAGAUUUAACCAGCAUCUACAGAACACUUCACCAAAAACAGCAGAAUACAUAUUCUCAAGUACACAUAAAACGUUCUCCACGACUGACAAUAUGGUGCAUACACCAUAAAAUAAACUCGAAUACCUUUAAAUAGGAUUGAAAUCAUAAAGUAUAUUGUCUGAGCACAAUAGACUUAAAUUAAAAAUCAGUAAUAGGAAGAAACUUGGGAAAUUCACAAAUAUGUGAAAAUUAAACAAUACACUCCUAAAUAACUAAUGGAUGAAAGAAGAAAUUACAAGGGAAAUUAGAAAAAAACUUGAGAAGGAUGAAAAUAAAAGCACAUCAUGCCAAUAUUUAUAGACUGCAGCUAAAGCAGUGCCCAGAGGAAAAGUUAUAGCUAUACAUGCUUAUAUUAAAAAAGACACUCUCAAAUCAAUAACCUUUCUACCUUAAGACACUAGAAAAAUUUCUCACAACAAAAGAUAAGUGUGUGAUGUGAUGGAUAUGUUAAUUAGCUUGAUAUAACCAUUUAACAAGGUAUACAUGUAUCAAACAUCACACAGUAAAUAUAUGUAAUUUUUGUCAACUAUAUGUUAAUAAAAAUUUUUUAAAUAAUUAAAAUAAUUAAAUAAUUAAAAAGAGAAAGGAGAUAGAGAAGAGCAAACUAAAAACCAGCAGAAGAAAGGAAAUAAUCAAGAUUAGAGCAGAAAUAACUGACACAGAGAAUAGAAAAACAAUAGAGAAAUCAACAAGACCAAUGGUUAGUUCUUUGAAAAGACUGACAAAACGACAAUCCUUUAGAAAGACUACGAAAGAAAGAGAGGGACUAAAUUACCAAAGUUAGAAAUGGAAGGGAGGACAUCUUAUAAAAUAAUGACCUUAUAAAAGUAAAAAAGGAUUAUAAGUGAAUAAUAUCAACAAUUAUGAGCCAACAAAGUUAAAUACAAUUCCUAGAAAAACAUAAACUACCCAAACCAACUCAAAAGGAAAUAUAUCUAAAACAAUUAGAGAUUAAAUAAUGUUAAAACUUCCUUGUGGCUGAGUGUGGUGGCUCAUGCCUGUAAUCCCAGCACGUUGGGAGGCCAAGGCAUGACGAUCCCUUGAGGCCAGUAGUUUGAGACCAGCCUGGACAACACAGUGACAACACCUCUACAGAAAAUAAAAAUGAAAAAAAUUAACCAAGCGUGGUGGCAUGUGCACCUGUAGUCUUAGCUACUUGGGAGACUGUGGCAGGAGGACUAUUUGAUCCCAGGAGUUUGAGAUUACAGUGGCCUAAGAUUGUGCCACUGUACUCCAUCCUGGGUGACAGAGCAAGAUUCUGUCUCAGAAAAAUAAAAAUAAAUAAAUAAAUUCCUUGCUAUGGUCUGAAUGUUUGUAUCCACCCCCCAUUUAUAUGUUGAAACUCAAUCAGCAAAAGGUGAUGUUAUUAGGAGGUGGGGCCUUUGGAGAGUGACUAGGUCAUGAGGGCCCUGUGAAAAUGAAUAGGAUUAAUGCUUUUAUAAAAGAGGCCCCCAAGAACUGCCUUCCCUUCUGCUACGUUGAGGAUGCAGUGAGAAGACACCAUAUCUAUGAAGCAGAGAACGAAGCUUUUCUAGAUACUAAAUCUGGUGGUGACGUGAUCUUGGACUGUCCAGCCUCCAGAACUGUGACCAAUAAAUUCUGCUGUUUAUAAAGCACCCAGUCUGAGGUAUUUUGAUAUCACAGUCCAAACAGACUACCCUUGAAAACCCAAGCCAGACAGCUUCACUAGCAAAUUCUAUCAGACAUUUAAAAAGGCAGGGCACAGUGGCUCACACCUGUAAUCCCAGAACUUUGGGAGGCUGAGGUGGGAGGAUCACUUGAGCCCAGGAGUUUCAGACCAGCCUUGGCAACAUAGUGAGACCGUGUCUCUAUAAAAAAAUUUUUUUAAAAAAUAGCCAGGUGUAGUGGUGCACACCUGUGGUCCCAGCAGCUCAGGAUGCUGAGGUGGAAGGAUUGCUUGAGCCCAGGAAUUCAAGGCUGCAGUGAGCCAUGAUUGUACCACUGUACUCCAACCUGGGCAACAGAGGAGAUCCGCUCUCAAUAAAUAAAUAAAUAAAUAAAUAAAUAAAACAUCAAUACUAAUCAAUACCAAUACUGUCAAUACCAAUCCUACCAAAAAAACAGAAGAGGGUUUAACACUUCCCAACUCAUUUUAUAGAACAGUAUGACGAGAGAUAAAACAGGCAAAGAUAUCAAAAGAAAACUACAGACUAAUAUUCCUUAUGAAUAUAGACACAAACACUAGCAAACAACUUAAAACAAUGCAUAAAUGGAAUUACACACCAUGAGUAAAUGGAAUUUAUCCUAGGAAUUCAAGGGUGGUUUGGCAACAAUCAAUGUAAUAGACACCAUAUGAAUAAAGUACAAAAACCAUGUGGCUUCCCAAUAGACGCAGGAAAGAAAUUUGAGGAAACUCAACACCCUUUCAUAAUAAAAGGAUGCUCAACAAACUAGAAAUCGAAGGAAACCUCCUCAGCCUGAUGCUUAUGUUUAUGGUCAAUUGAUUUUCAACAAGAAUACUAUAACAACUCAAAAGGGAAAGAAUAGUCUUCUAUUUUUUAAUUUAAAAAUUUUUGUUUUUUCCAGGUUUAUUGAGGUAUCAAUGAUAAAAAUUGUAUAUAUUUAGGUUAUACAAUAGGAUGUUUUCAUAUAUGUGUAGAUUGUGAAAUAAUUACCACAAUAAAGCUAAUCAGCACAUCUAUCACCUCACAGAAUUACCAUUUUGUGUGCAUGAAGAACAGUCAUUUAAAUAAAUGAUGCUGGAACAAGUGGACUUCAUGCAAAAACAUGAAGUUGAACCCCUUUCUUGCACUACACUAACACAAAGACUAACUCAAAAUGGACCACAGACCUUAGUGUCAUAACUGAAACUAUAAAACUGUCUGAAGAAAACACAGGUAUAAGUCUUCAUGACCUUGGAUCAGACCAUGGUCUCUUAGAUAUGAACCAAAAGCACUAGUAAUGGAAGAAAAAAGUAGAUAAAUUGGCUACAUUAAAAUUAAAACUUUUUUGUUGCAAAUGAUACCACUAAUAAAGAAGACAACAUACAGAAUGGGAGAAAAUAUUUGCAAAUCAUAUAUCUAAUCUAACGAGGGACUAAUAUCCAAAAUAAAUAAAUAACUUUUACAACUCAAUAAUAAAAAACCCAACUGCAGAUUAGUGAAGGAUUUGAAUAGACAUGGUUUUAAAGAAGUCAUGCAAAUGGCCAAUGAGCGCACGCAAAGAUGUUCAACUUCAUUAUCCACCAAGAAAAUGCAAAUCGAAACCACAAUGAGACAUCAGCUCAAACCUGUGAGGAUGGCUAGAUGAGAAAGAUAGAUGAUGUAAAGAUUGGAGAGGAUGUGAAGAUAUCGGAACCACUGAGAUGAGGAACCAAGGAAAUGCAUACUUUCCUGAUAAGGAUGUGAGAUGGUGCAACCAUGUGGAACACAGUCCAGCAAUUUCCCAAAAAGGUGAACACAGAGUCACCACACGAACCUGCAGUUCUACUCCUAGGCACAGACCCAAGAGAAACAAAAACACAUUCACGCCAAAGCUUGUACGUGAUUGCUCACAGCACAGUCUGUAUCAGUCCUUUCUUGAACUGCUAUAAAGAACUACCUAAGACUGGGUAAUUUCUAAAGAAAAGAUGUUCAAUUGGCUCACAGUUCUGCAGGCUGUACAGGAAGCAUGGCUGGGGAGGUCUCAGGAAAGUCACAAUCCUGGCAGAAGGUAAAGGGGAAGCAGGCACGUCUUGCAUGGCUGGAGCAGGAGGAAGAGAGUAAAGGGGGAGGCGCUACACACUUUUUUUUUUAUAUUUUUUAUUUUUAUUUUUAUUUUUAUUUUGUUUGAGACAGUCUCGCUCUGUCACCCAGGCCGGACUGCAGUGGCACGAUCUCGGCUCACUGCAAGCUCUGCCUCCCGGGUUCACGCCAUUCUCCUGCCUCAGCCUCCAGAGUAGCUGGGACUACAGGUGCCCGCCACCAUGCCUGGCUAAUUUUUUGUAUUUUUAGUAGAGACGGGGUUUCACCGUGUUAGCCAGGAUGGUCUUGAUCUCCUGACCUCGUGAUCCGCUUGCCUCGGCCACCCAAAGUCCUGGGAUUACAGGCGUGAGCCACUGCACCCGGCCUACACACUUUUAAACACUCAGGCUUCCUGAGAACUCACUGCCACAAGAACAGCGAGGUGGAUUCCACGCCCAUGAUCCAAUCACUCCCACCAGCUCCCUCCUCCAACAUCGGAGAUUACAAUUCUACAUGAGAUUUGGGUGGGGACACGAAUCCGAACCAUAUCAGAGUCAUUCACAAUCACCCAAAAGCAGAAACAACCCAAAUGCUUCCUAUCCGAUGAAUAGAUAAAUAAAGCAUGAUCUACUCAAACAAUGGAAUAGUAGCCACAAAAAGGAAAGCAGUGGUUUAUGCUGCAGCAGGAAUAAACCCUGAAACCACGACGCUGAGUUAAAGAAGCCGGACAAAGGAGGCCAGGUAGUGUCGUGCCUGUCUACAGGACACGUCCACAGAAGUGGACAAAUCUAC